Molecule: RNA transcript, 2756 nt
Organism: Dendrobium catenatum
Lineage: Eukaryota; Viridiplantae; Streptophyta; Magnoliopsida; Asparagales; Orchidaceae
Gene name: vacuolar fusion protein MON1 homolog
Exons: 17
Source: RefSeq, a predicted model, not a curated record
AGGGAUCUGAAGGUAAACGGCAGUAAUCUUCUGCUCGGGGUCUUGGAGAGAACGACGGGUAUGGCACAAAGACUCCUCUUUUCCAAUCCCAUCUUCGUUUUCCUCGCCCUCAAACCCUAGUUCCCACCUAAGGUCCCUUCCGGCUCUCCAUGGACUCCGAUCCUGACACUAACGGCGCUCCUGAACCUCAAUUAUCCGAGGACGAGAUGAGGUUGAGUUACCUAAGUUUGGAGGACUCCCGCCAUGUACCCCAGGGGGUGCGUCUUGAGAGAAAUGGCUCUUUGCCUGCGGACUUCUACGACGCCAGAGAGGAUAUCAAGCCUGAUGAUGUGGAGGCCUCGCCGCCGCGCAUGGUCACGGGGGGUCGAGAGGGAUCGUCCAAAGGGAAAAUUGGAUUGAUAGAAGGAUUGGAGAUGGACGGGGAGGCGCCACCGAGUCCCAGCAGUAGUGGAUACGCAGGUGAGAGGGGAAGCAGUGGCGGCUCCAGCGGGACCGUGGAGGCGGCCGAUAGCGGCGAGAGGGUGUUGCACGAUGAUUGGGAUAAAGGGAAGCGGCGUAUUGAUGAGGAUGAUACAUCUGCUUCUUGGAGAAAGCGAAAGAAACAUUUUUUUGUAUUGAGUCACUCUGGAAAGCCGAUAUUUUCUAGGUAUGGCGAUGAACAUAAGCUAGCAGGAUUCUCAGCAACCUUGCAAGCCAUCAUAUCAUUUGUUGAGAAUGGUGAUGAUCGCAUCAAAUUCGUAAGGGCUGGAAGACAUCAGGUAGUAUUUCUUGUGAAAGGCCCUAUAUAUUUGGUCUGUAUUAGCUGCACUGAAGAGCCAUAUGAGGCAUUAAGGGGACAACUAGAGCUUCUAUAUGGCCAGAUAUUGGUUAUAUUGACAAAGUCAAUUGACAGAUGUUUUGUGAAGAAUCCAAAGUUUGAUAUGGCCCCAUUACUGGGAGGGACGGAUGCUGUUUUCUCCUCUUUGAUUCACUCAUUCAGCUGGAAUCCUGCCACAUUUCUCCAUGCAUACACAUGCCUCCCGCUUGCUUAUUCCACAAGACAAGCUGCCGUUGCAAUACUGCAGGAUGUUGCUGACUCCGGUGUUCUAUUUGCAAUAUUGAUGUGCAGGCAUAAAGUUGUCAGUCUUGUUGGAGCUCAAAAAGCAUCUCUCCAUCCAGAUGACAUGCUCUUACUCUCAAAUUUCAUAUUGUCUACGGAGUCUUUCAGGACAUCUGAGGCUUUCUCACCAAUUUGCUUACCUCAUUACAAUUCUAUGGCGUUCCUAUAUGCUUAUGUUCAUUAUCUGGAUGUUGAUACAUAUUUGGCAUUGCUUAGUACUAAUUCAGAGGGCUUCUACCAUCUAAAAGAGUGCAGGAUUCAGAUUGAAUCUGUGCUUGUUAAGUCGAACGUUCUCUGUGAAGUUCAGAAAUCAAUACUGGAUGGUGGACUGCAUGUUGAGGACCUUCCUGUUGAUUCAUCUCUUCGAUCUGGUUUGCCAUGUCCACAUCCAAGCCAGGGCAGAGCUGGACCUUCGUCUAUGUCUGACAUUGGUGGGCCGGCAGGCCUUUGGCAUUUCAUUUAUCGGAGUAUCAAUCUUGACCAAUAUGUUUCGUCAGAGUUUUCGUCACCCUUAAAUAGUUCCAGACUACAUAAAAGAUUGUAUAGGGCUUACCAGAAGCUGUAUGUAUCCAUGCAUGAUAGACAAAUUGGUCCACAUAAAACUCAGUUCAGAAGAGAUGAAAAUUAUGUAUUACUUUGUUGGAUCACUCAAGAUUUUGAACUUUAUGCUGCUUUUGACCCUCUUGCUGACAAGGCACUUGCAAUAAAAACAUGCAAUCGGGUAUGUCAAUGGGUCAGGGAUUUGGAAAACGAGAUAUUUCUUUUUGGAGGAAGCCCUUUCUCUUGGUGACAUUAUCCAUUUUACUAACGAUGUACCAUGUGACCAUAUUGAUGGAUUCCACAUUUCUUCAGCAUUAUUACUGACAGGUUUAUUUCCACAAUCAAGUGAGCUCAAGUACCUGCGGGUUUCUGGCUCUCUUGCAACCCCACUUGAUUGGAGAGCGUUGAACAUAUUCUUCAGCGACAUAAAACCAGAUCUGUCUGCAAGAAAUAAACUAAUCUAAAAAGAUCCUGAUUAUAGAGUCGAUCAGUAGGGUGCUUUUCUAUCAAACUUCUUGAACAUUAUCUUCAUCAAUGUUUUGUUGAUCAGAGCCUUGAAGAGAGAGAGAGAGAGAGAGCUCAACAUUGCAGUAUCUUGUUUGAUUAGAUUCUAGCCUGUCUACUUAAUUUUUGGUUUUCCUAUACUUGAGAUCAUAGUUGCUAAAAUCUCAUCUGGGUCGAAAUCAAGAAGAUGGCGCUUAUUAUUGCCCCCGGCCUGAAUUCUUUUUCAUUCAAGCAGGAAAUACCCGAUAGGCUGCAGCCCUCUCCACACCAGCCUCUUCUCUUCCUCUUGGAAAGCUCUACACUGAACUAACUAUCAAAGUCGAACCAGAGCUACUAAAUUCAUAUAGGACACUUUCCCAGUAAAAUCGGCUCAUUGAUCCAGGAGACGAGGAAAACAAAUAAACACUUGUAAUUAUGUUCUUGGAUGCAGAACUAGCACAAAUAGGGCUUUAAUUUAGUUUGUUAAAUGGAAAAUUUGUUUUUCAGAUAUUUUCUUUUUGGUAUACACAGUCUUCUUGAUCCCUCAUUUAUGUGAGUCUCAUGUAUACCACUCUUAACAUGUUUGUUCAAUGGGAUAAGGAGUACUCAUUUUUACAGAUUUUGCCUCUUUUGA